UUUCCGUAGGUGAACCUGCGGAAGGAUCAUUAAUGAGUUGUCAUGGGGUUCGAUGCUGGCAGCCAGUUUUUGGAUGCAUGUGCUUGCCCUAACAAUCAUCUUCUUCCAAACACCUGUGCACAUUUUUGAGGGAGUCUUGAGUUGGUUGCCGCUCUUGGGUGAUUUUCUCACAUUCCCUUAAAUCAUUAUACGCUAUUAACAAUGUUGAACGUGCUCUGUGCCGCAAGGCCAUUAAUAUAAUACAACUUUUAACAACGGAUCUCCCGGCUCUCGCAUUGAUGAAGAACGCAGC
Molecule: unclassified non-coding RNA, 292 nt
Filed under: plant metagenome
Description: partial contains small subunit ribosomal RNA, internal transcribed spacer 1, and 5.8S ribosomal RNA
Rfam family: 5.8S ribosomal RNA (bases 244-292)
Source: RNAcentral